UCGGAAAGGGAACUCCCUGGCCCCUUGCGCUUCCCAGGUGAGGCAAUGCCUCGCCCUGCUUCGGCUCGCGCACGGUGCGCACACCCACUGGCCUGCACUCACUGUCUGGCACUCCCUAGUGAGAUGCACCCGGUACCUCAGAUGGAAAUGCAGAAAUCACCCGUCUUCUACAGCUCACCCUGGGAGCUGUAGACCGGAGCUGUUCCUAUUCGGCCACCUUGGCUCCUCCCCUUGCUACCAAAUUAUUACUAAGCCUCCUACAAAGCAAGGUCUCCACUACUCCUUUGCUCAAGCAUGGUGACUCUAACCUUUGCAUUCAUGGAUGUGGCUGGCAGGAUGCCCCGUGGGCUCAAACCAUUUCCAUAAAGUACACGUGCAAAGCCCCUGCUGAGAGACACCAGGAACAUCUUUCAAGGCUCUCAGCUCCAGCUUCUUCUUUCAAAAUGCACAAGGCUUCUCAACUAGUUCCUGUCUAGCCAGGCUGCUCAUUUCUUUAUAGUCACUGAACCAGAAUAACCACAGAUCAAGCCGGAAGCACAUGAUAACCCGCUGAACUCCGCACAGCCCUGGCUGGGCUUCUCUGAGUGAACAAACGCUGCCCUGGUCUCCGCAGCUGUGAAAUAUCCAGUGAGCAUCCAGCUGCGGGUUAGUUACUUCCACAGUCAGAGAAGGAAAGAAGAAAAUAAGAGUGACAGAUGCACAGAACCACGGACAUUCGAGACUGUCAUAGCUGUUCACAGUUGUUGAAGAUUUACAGGCAAGCCGUUUGGAGUUUAAAUGUGAGAUGACACCAGGGGCCUCUAAUGUACAGUGGAGCUUUAAGCAUGAUAUGGGGGCAGAAAAUGGUCUGGGAACCCCCUUCUCUGAGAUCUUAGAAGUUCUGUUCUAUUGACUCCAGGCAGGGCUGCAGCCACGGUGCACUUCAUGGACUCAUAAAUAUAACAUUAUUGGACAAAAAAACCCCAAUCCUUCUCUGACUGAUUAGGCCCAGAUUGGUCAGCCCAUAAAUCAAUGCUGAAUAAGAACUAUAAAGUUGUGAAUCAAUGUGUCCCAGAUCUCCAAACUGGAAUGAAAAAACAGGAAUAAAAUAGCUGGAGC
RNAcentral lists this long non-coding RNA (1098 nucleotides) under Homo sapiens (human). RNAcentral describes it as "HSALNT0106674". The record is from RNAcentral. Lineage: Eukaryota; Metazoa; Chordata; Mammalia; Primates; Hominidae.